RNAcentral lists this non-coding RNA (229 nucleotides) under Rossellomorea vietnamensis. RNAcentral's name for it is "Bacillus vietnamensis Bacterial small subunit ribosomal RNA". It matches the Rfam family "Bacterial small subunit ribosomal RNA", at positions 1305 to 1533 of the family's 1533-position model. Lineage: Bacteria; Bacillati; Bacillota; Bacilli; Caryophanales; Bacillaceae. The record is from Rfam by way of RNAcentral.
CUGCAACUCGCCUACAUGAAGCUGGAAUCGCUAGUAAUCGCGGAUCAGCAUGCCGCGGUGAAUACGUUCCCGGGCCUUGUACACACCGCCCGUCACACCACGAGAGUUUGUAACACCCGAAGUCGGUGAGGUAACCUUUUGGAGCCAGCCGCCUAAGGUGGGACAGAUGAUUGGGGUGAAGUCGUAACAAGGUAGCCGUAUCGGAAGGUGCGGCUGGAUCACCUCCUUU